This is a non-coding RNA of Phrynosoma platyrhinos (Desert horned lizard), 72 nucleotides long. NCBI's taxonomy places the organism in Eukaryota, Metazoa, Chordata, Lepidosauria, Squamata, Phrynosomatidae. The record is from the annotation of a GenBank genome assembly.
ACCAGUGUGGCAUAGUGGUUUGAGUGUUUGACUAUGACUCUGGAGACCAGGGUUCAAUUCCUCACUCUGCCA